CCAAGAAGGAUUUGAAGGGUGUUGAUAAUGACAAUGAUGGACAGGGUAGCAAAGAGAAAGCAGUGGGCAAACCGGCGACGAUGAUGGGGG
Molecule: small nuclear RNA, 90 nt
Filed under: Thalassiosira punctigera
Lineage: Eukaryota; Bacillariophyta; Thalassiosirophyceae; Thalassiosirales; Thalassiosiraceae
Description: partial Dictyostelium signal recognition particle
Source: RNAcentral